Molecule: ribosomal RNA, 253 nt
Filed under: uncultured bacterium
Lineage: Bacteria
Description: partial 16S ribosomal RNA
Rfam family: Bacterial small subunit ribosomal RNA
Source: RNAcentral
UACAGAGGGUGCGAGCGUUAAUCGGAAUUACUGGGCGUAAAGCGUGCGUAGACGGUUAUUUAAGUCGGGUGUGAAAGCCCCGGGCUCAACCUGGGAAUGGCGAUGGAUACUGGCUCGCUAGAGUGCGGUAGAGGAGAGUGGAAUUCCCGGUGUAGCAGUGAAAUGCGUAGAGAUCGGGAGGAACAUCAGUUGCGAAGGCGGCUCUCUGGACCAGCACUGACACUGAGGCACGAAAGCGUGGGGAGCAAACAGG